Molecule: unclassified non-coding RNA, 5101 nt
Filed under: Octopus sinensis (East Asian common octopus)
Lineage: Eukaryota; Metazoa; Mollusca; Cephalopoda; Octopoda; Octopodidae
Description: kinesin-like protein KIF18A, transcript variant X1
Source: RNAcentral
AAGCGAAAGACAAAUGUGACUAAUACCCAGGUCAGACAUUCGCGCCUCAUCGAUGCAUGUCCGGUAUGAAAGAGUUACAUUUGUUCGAGCAAGUCGCCCGACCUGGAUGGAUACACAACAGCUUCCACUGAAAACAGACAAAUAGUUCUUCCAUAUAUAUCAGUGAUGAUCAAUUACUAAAGGGCGAUAAUUUAAAAGUUUAUUCAACAAAGUUUGUUACGUUUGUAACGAGGUGGCGCUGUAGUCCGUACAAAAGCACCAAUCAGAUAUUUAAAUGUUGUUGAGGCGUCAUAUUUGAAUGUUUUCCAGUUUAUCAUGAUUUAUUAAAUGAUUCUCGAUACACAUUAGCUAGAAAGUAAAUCUCAGAACAAGCCACUGAAUAUGACGAAUAACACAGGGGUAAAAGUAGUUGUUCGUGUUCGACCAUUAUCUUCAAAAGAAAAUGAGGGUUCAACUAGGACUGUGGUCGAGGCCAUAAAUGACCAUAUCCUGGUAUUUGAUCCUGCCGAUGAUAGAUGUGAAAUAAAUGGUAUGUCAACUUCGAAAUUUGUGCGAGGAGAUAUUACAAGACGACGGAACAAAAACUUAACUUUUGCAUUUGAUCAUGUGUUUGGUCCAGAGAGUUCGAAUGUCGAAAUAUAUGAACACACAAGUAAAGUAAUACUUGAUGGAUUACUUAAUGGUUACAAUUGUUCAGUAUUUGCUUAUGGUGCUACUGGUGCUGGGAAAACAUAUACCAUGCUCGGUACCAAUGACUUUCCUGGAAUCACAUUCCUCACUCUUAUGGACCUUUAUCAGAGAAUAGAGGCAAUUAAAACUGAAAAAAGCUGUGAUGUUGCCGUUUCUUAUUUAGAGAUCUAUAAUGAGCAAAUUAAAGACUUGUUGAAUUCAAAAUCUCAGUUACCAAUCCGAGAGGAUCCCAAAGCUGGUAUUAUAAUACCGGGUCUUACAUUACACAAACCUCAAGAUGAGCAGGAUUUGUUGAAAAUGUUAUAUUUUGGAAAUCAGAACCGUUCACAACACCCAACAGAUGCUAAUGCAGAAUCGUCUCGAUCUCAUGCUGUUUUUCAGGUGUUUGUAAAGCAGUCUGAUAGAACAGCUAAUUUAGUAAAAUCAGUCCAUAUUGCCAAAAUGUGCUUGGUUGACCUGGCUGGUUCUGAGCGUGGUACUGCAACAAGUAACAGGGGUCCCAGAAUGCGAGAAGGAGCCAAUAUCAAUCGGUCUUUACUAGCAUUGGGGAAUGUUAUUAAUGCACUGGCUGAUGAAAAGACUAAAGGUUAUAUUCCAUAUCGGGACAGUAAGCUGACACGUUUACUUAAAGACUCUAUUGGUGGCAACUGCAGGACAGUUAUGAUAGCUGCUGUAAGUCCAUCACAUUUAUCAUACGAAGAUACAUACAACACUUUGAAGUAUGCUGACAGAGCAAAACAUAUUCGAGUUAAUUUGAAGAAGAAUAUUAUGAAUGUGAAGUCUAACAUCAGCAAGUAUGGAAAAAUUGUUGAAGGUCUUCGAGAAGAGGUUCAGCAGCUUAAAACUAAAUUAAAGGAAUACGAAAGUGUAGAUUUGAAAGCAAGCAUACCCAAACUGCAAGAAUGUGAAGAAGAAAAAAGAUUACAAGAAAUCCUUUAUAAUUUAUUCACUGAAAGGAAGUCUAUUCGCAAAGAGAUCCUCAAGCAAGAAAGUGACCGACGUGCCAACCGCUGGAAAAUACACUGCAAACAGCAUCUUUUGACACAAAUGGAAGCUGAGGACCAGGGUGAAACUGAUGAACAUCUGUUAAAAAAAACUAAGAAAGCUAUUGAUUUAUCCAACAAAAGAAUAAAAAGCAUCGAUACUAAUAUUGCUAAUUUGAAAGAGAAAUUUGUCGAAAAUGAAAAACACUUGGAGCGACUUCAGGGAGAGAUGACACUGAAUGGAGAGAAGAAGAUAACAGCGCUCCUUGAGGAGAAACUACGAUCUCACCAUCUGGAAGUAGAACUGGGAGAUUCUCUCACUUACAUCAAUCACGUAAAGAAAAUUGCCAACUUUCAAGAGGUAGAGAAUAACUCGAAAGACAGGUUGAUAAACAGCAUGCAGCAAACAAUGACAAAAUUGUAUAAAACAGUUCAGCAACAUCAACUGCUUUCCUCAGAACUUCAAGUGGAUUAUAAUCAAACCAUGAGGCAAAGGUAUGGAGAAAAAGAAGUAGUGUGGGUUGAUGAGACUAUACUAAAAGAAGCUGACAAAAACCCAGAUUCAAUUUCACUUGAAGGUACUCUAGACCUUCCGACUCUCAGCCGAGUUGUUUUGUCACCCACCUUGGAUAAAAAUAUUAGACAAAGGAGGGAGUCUUUAACUCCUAUUUUGAAAAAAACAAAAUGCUUUCUUAAUUCGAAAUGUAACACUCCUAUGAGUCAAAUUGAUCAAACUCCUAAAAUGCAAAGGAGAGAAGAUUACACUUCAAGGAAUUCUACCAUUACAAGUUCUACAAGAAAGCUGAAUAAUUCAACAGUAUCAGCAGUGGACCAGUCUUUAAAACGGCCAAGAUCUGAAGAGAGUAAAUCAGCACCAAAGACCUCUGAAAGAUUGGUGCUUGUUAGUAAUUCUGAUGGACUCAAAAGUCCCAGUGUGGAAAAUCAAAUCUCUGUAGUAAGUUCUAGUAUGAAAGAAAAUGAUCCAAGAAAAGAUACUGUUAGUGACGACGUGACAGCCCUUAAUAAUACAAUUUCAGAAGAAUCCGAAGUAGAAAACAUCAUCAAAGAUGUUUCAGAACCUAAGAAAUGGUGCUCAAUCGAUACUAUGAAAAGUCUUUCUGCGACAAUAAUAGCUACUACCCCCAAUAGAAGUCUGGCCAGUAUUGCCAGCAAAACACCAAGUCCUUUAGCACAACUGUUAUCUCCAGCUAUUCGACCUUCAACUAGAGAGGCCAGCCACUUAAAUUUAGCUGGCGGAGCCACAAUAACCAAAUCAAAACCAACUUUUCCUUUGAAAAUGUUAAAUAUAAACAAGCCAAAAGGUAUGAUUGUUAGCGCUAUGACAGCGUCAGCAAAGGAAAAUAUCAAGGAUUUGCAUCGCUAUAAAACAUCAUCAAUGUUUGAAAGAAGUACAGUAUUUGCAGCUAAGAAACUCCAAAGGAGUGAUUCCCAGAAACUGAAAUCUCUACACAAAUUUCCGAUGCGUUUAGGACCACAGGGCAUUAAAGAAUCACAGAUUACAUUAUCUUCAAGUAAAAAGCCCACCUCUUCCUCUUCAAAAUUCAUUGGGAAGCAAAGGUCAUUAUUUCGAAGCAAAUCUGUCAGUGAUCUGCGUAAUUGACCUAAAUGUGGACAUCAUAGGACAAAUCUGAUUUGCAACCUUGCCUCCUGGUUACAAUUUUUCAAGCUUUUUACUCAACACAAAUUAAUAUUUUCGUGAUUUGGUGUUUUAUCUCCUCAAAAGUUCUCUACGCAUUUCACCAAUUCUUUUUAAAUGAUAAAGACAAUGUUUGUCUUAAGAUAAGCUGAAGAAUUUCGCAAAAAUCUCAAUAGAGAUUAGAGGACCAUGAGCAGAGUAUAUCAAAACAAGUAAAGAUUUUAACAUUAUAGUCCCCAAUAUCUUAAAGAUGUCAGAUCAUAGUUUACUCUCUUAGCUCUUGAUCUGUGUGCAUGUGGGUAUGUAUAUAUGUACAUAUGGAAUCAUAGAAUAAAAGACUGUCCUUUCUGUGAAAGGGCUUAUAUCUUGCUCUAAUGGAAACUUUUGUAACUAAACAAACCUUCUGUUUUGGAAUACACGCAUACAGACACACAUACACACAUGUGGAUAAUACAUACAUAUAUAUAUGUAUGUAUGUAUAUAUGUGUAUGUAUCCUAUUUAUAAUAUUUCAGGACUAUGUUGUGAGGUCAUUAUUGUUUUAAUGAAAAUGAUAUAAAAAAAGAAAUCUCAUGGGCCAAAUGUACAGACAUAUAGCUGAUUCCAUGAAAAGGAAUUUUGGAACCCAUGAUCUCAGAUUUUCAUCAAAUUUUGACCAGUUCUUUCUAUCGGUAAGAACAGAAAAAGUGCAAAAUUUCAGACUCAAUCUCCCAAAGGUAUGCCGAUUUGAAAUUUGACUCAAAUCAUUCACUUUUAGGCCUUGAAUUUGAAAGCCACAAUAAAUGAUGUAAUUACUCUCAAUCCACAUGGACUAUUUUUCUGAAAAUUUGUGAAUUUCUGUGCUGAAUCUGAAUUUAAAGAGAAAAGAGUGUAUUUCUCAUGGCAAAGUGCUUGUUUUCUUGAAUCAAAAUGAAAACACUUCGUUUUUUUUUCUUGAUACUGCUGUGUGCUGAAAGUGAAAUUCCCCGAAGUGCCCAAAUCCUACAUCUUCAAAACAGUUUGCUCAUAAACUGAACAUAAUGUUUUACUUGUGUGCAUCCAACAUUGAAGGCAAGUCACAGUUCAAGAGGUAAUAAUGCGACAAAUAUCAUUUUCAGACUUAAUAUUGCUUACAUAUAACAUUUCUGAGUCAUAUUAAUCCUGUUGUGAUUGAGGGACUUUGUACCCUCCUGUCCACACCAAAUUUUCACAGGUUCCAGGAAUGUUUAUACCAUGACAAAACUCUACACACAUUGUCAUGCUCUUUUCCACUCUCACAAAAUCUUUUUUCCUGGGCAUUUUUCAGGAAAAUUCAUCAUCACAAAAGAAAGUUGUAGUUGCAUCAAGAAUCUCUUGAUUGAGCCUCUGUCGUGGAGCAAUAUCAGGACAUCCAGUGAUGCCUUUAUCAUCAUGCAGCAACCUGGCUUUUUGAAUGGUACUUUUUGACACAGAAUUCUUUUGCAGCUUUUCUAAUAGACCAAGAAUUUGGAACCAAAGUCAAGAUCUGAAUUUCUUGCCUUUGCCCAAUGCUUUUAAUUUUUUCCUUCAUACACUGCACCAAGUAAUCUAGAUCAUUUGCUUUUGACUGUGUCUCUUUGCCAAUGUUCACUAGAUUUUCUUCUUGAAGAUCAGAAUCAUUGACUUUUAGCACACAAACAAGUUUUUUUGCGACUGCUUUCUCAACUUGCUUCAAUGUUUUCAAAUGAUAGUCUUUGCCAUGCAAUACACUCACAGUGCAUGAUGUUUUUAUUUUGGACCUUCUUAUCAGGAAUUUUGUAAAAGAAAUAUUUUGGU